RNAcentral lists this ribosomal RNA (652 nucleotides) under uncultured bacterium. RNAcentral's name for it is "bacterial SSU rRNA". It matches the Rfam family "Bacterial small subunit ribosomal RNA", at positions 1 to 636 of the family's 1533-position model. The record is from RNAcentral.
UAGAGUUUGAUCAUGGCUCAGAUUGAACGCUGGCGGCAGGCCUAACACAUGCAAGUCGAGCGGUAACAUUUCUAGCUUGCUAGAAGAUGACGAGCGGCGGACGGGUGAGUAAUGCCUGGGAAUAUGCCUUGAUGUGGGGGAUAACCAUUGGAAACGAUGGCUAAUACCGCAUAAUCUCCGAUCUUUUGCGAGAUGGGAGCAAAGAGGGGGACCUUUUGGCCUCUCGCGUCAAGAUUAGCCCAGGUGGGAUUAGCUAGUUGGUGAGGUAAGGGCUCACCAAGGCGACGAUCUCUAGCUGGUCUGAGAGGAUGAUCAGCCACACUGGAACUGAGACACGGUCCAGACUCCUACGGGAGGCAGCAGUGGGGAAUAUUGCACAAUGGGCGCAAGCCUGAUGCAGCCAUGCCGCGUGUGUGAAGAAGGCCUUCGGGUUGUAAAGCACUUUCAGUCGUGAGGAAGGUAGUGUAGUUAAUAGCUGCAUUAUUUGACGUUAGCGACAGAAGAAGCACCGGCUAACUCCGUGCCAGCAGCCGCGGUAAUACGGAGGGUGCGAGCGUUAAUCGGAAUUACUGGGCGUAAAGCGCAUGCAGGUGGUUUGUUAAAUCAGAUGUGAAAGCCCGGGGCUCAACCUUGGAAUUGCAUUUGAAACUGG